Molecule: long non-coding RNA, 185 nt
Organism: Hippocampus comes (tiger tail seahorse)
Lineage: Eukaryota; Metazoa; Chordata; Actinopteri; Syngnathiformes; Syngnathidae
Exons: 2
Source: RefSeq, a predicted model, not a curated record
GCUUAUGAGUGCAGUUUGAAGAGGCAUAUGUUUAGCCACACUGGUGAGAAACCUUUUUCGUGCUCAGUUUGUGGCCAGACAUUCUCCCAGAAGGGGACCUUAAAAAUACACACAAGAACUCACACUGGUGAGAAAUCUUUUGCCUGCACAUCUUGUGGUCAAAGAUUUUCAGAUAAGGGAUCCUU